CAUGCAGAUUUACAGCUUCUGGCUUGAAUACAGUAAGAUUUUUACUAUAUUUAUCUAGGCAUGAGGGGCCCACUAUAGGGUCAUGUAUACACGUAGUUUCACUGGUGACUAUAAUGUCCCUUUAAACAAUUCAAGGUCAGAGUUUCUUUUUCUUUAUAGCUUGGAAUGCACGUAGGGUAGUUUUCAAGUUUGACGAAUACCCGGAAAUUGAAAUAAUAACCUUUUAGUUAUGCAAAUAUUGUAUUAAACAUGUACAUAGAUAUCACAUAAAUGUUAAGGUUUGAACAGCUUUUUCUUUUCUAAGUAAAAUAAACAUGAAAGUGAAAAUAAAACCUGCCCAACCUUAACCACAUCAGCUUAGGGAACACAACAUUCUACACUUCCUUAUCAUUUAUUUACAUACAUAUUUACAUACACACAUAUCUAGUAAGGUUGUAGUAAAAAAUAAAAAGGAGUAAUUCAAAUUGAUUGAAUGAUUUCAUGUUAAGGUGUAACUUCUACAUGUCAUAAGUCAAAUAAAAUCCAUGUCUUACAUACACAUAUUCUAGUUUGUUAUUCCCCAAAACUCACAAAAUGCCAUCAAAUAUAUGCAAAUGAGCCCUACAUUCACUGUCAUUUUAUUAAUAGUCCUACCUAUAUUUCUGUGGGUUCGAUGAACAGAUAUUUAAACACAGUUGUCCAACCAUAAUCGUAUGUUAGGUAUUGAAUGAACCAUUAUCCAACCACAGAGAUCGUUCAUCCUGCAGUAACUUAGUGUGGUGCUGGCUUGAUUUGCAGAUGAAAGUAUUUACGAUAGCUCCAAGAUAAUAUUAAUAAAGUUGUACACAAACGUAACAAUAAUUGUUAAAGGAUUUUGAUACAUUGUAAAAUGCACGGCUUUAAAAACGUGUGGCCCUGAUGAUUAUACCUGGAAACCUGCGGGGAAUAGGAGAAGGGGAGAGGUGUGUUGCUGUAGCACCUACCCGAAUGCCCGACAGUGUCCCUGUAUGGGAAGCUCUUUUGUUUUGACCCUUCACUUACUGCCUGGUUAAUGAGGUAUCUCUGAGAACAUUGACGUGAAAUGUUCAUAUGUACGGUCCUGAUUGACUGUUUGUGGAUUACAUCUCCCACCAUGAGAGAGAACUAAAGAACAAUGUCCCAUGUACCUAUUAUUUAACUCCUCUCCUGUCUGGGCCUGCCAUUGUCUAAUUUCUCUACUUCUCUGAAUUAUUUUCUCUUUGCGAGGUGCAAAGAACAGACCUUAUGACAGUAAUGACAAAAAACUAAGAUGGACAAUUCACCUCUAAUAAUUAGAAAUUAUUUUUUAAUAUUAAUCUAAACUACUUUCUUAGGUGUAUAGCUUAAAAAUACACCUAUAACUCCAACCGGUAUCUAUUUCUAAUGUAUUAUAUUAGCAAAAGUAGACAAUGAACUUCAACAUGCAAGUCUUUCGCAGGACCAAAUAACUCUUUGUAACAAUUAGACGUGGUCAUGUGACUGUGGGCCAAACAGCCCAGCUCAUUUUCCAAUAAAAGCUUUAUUUGUUAUGAUACACCGAGUAACAGACAAAGACGUGAUUGUUUAAGAAAAAUUGUUUUGCAAAGCAGUGAGUGUUCAUCGCGUUUGCCGCUGGCUGAGUUCCUCAGAUAAUUAACAAUGUCACUAAGUCUCACUCUCAAUAAUACCUCAAAAAUUGUAAUGUGGUAUAGAGUGAGGAUAUUUUAAUAUGAAGCAAAGGGAAGAUGUUAAAAAAUAAACAUGCAAAUAUUGUGUUAUUCAUCCGUUAAAAAGUUACUUUACUUUCGUAUGAAAGCAUUUCACAUUUUAAUCAAUUCUCUGAAGAGUUCAUUGGAUGUUUACUUUAAAUAUAAUACUAUAAUUGCUCCUGUGGAAGAAAAUUGCUUUCAAGACUGAUUGAGGAAGCCAACCCCCAGAACAAGAUAUUAGGAGGAGACAUUCCUAAAAGAGCAGAAUAAUUCUGUCUAGUAGUAAAAAAAUUGAAAACAAAAGUAUUUUAAUGUAUUAUUAUUAUUAUUGGUAUUUAUAUAGCGCCAACUAAUUCCGCAGCACUUUACAAUAUUAUGAAAGGGGGGGGGGAAUUUACAAUAAAUGAGACAAUUACACAGUGAUACAGGAUCAAUAGGUAGAUGAGGGACCUGCUCAACCGAACUUACAGUCUAGAGGAGGUGGGGUACAAAUACACAACAGGGCAGCAAGGGUGACAGCCACCAAACAAGGAGGAGAGAGUGGAGUAUGGCUCUUUAGGAGAGCAAGAGACAGAUAUGGAUAGGUAUAGAUAAGGUACUCUGGAAGUCCAUAAGCCUUUCUAAACAAUUGAAGACUAGGGGAGAGUCUGACGGGGAUAAGCAGGCUGUUCCAAAAGAGGGAAGCCGCCCACGAGAAGUCCUGUAUAAUUUAUCUAUCAAUCCAUACGUAUGUACAUCCUGUCUGUCCGUCCAUCCAAUUAUUGUUUAGGAGAUGCUGUAAUAGGGGGACCUGUAAGGGCACUUUAACACUAUGCAGUUACUUUACAGGACUGUGUUAUCAGCUUUCCACACACUCCCGUGUCAUUGCAUUGAAGCCGGCUACAUGUACCAGCCCACUCCCACUAGAUCCUAAGCAAGCUAGCCUCCUCUGAAAAGUUAGUGUUUAUAUGCUAUAGAUACCAGCACCACCACAAUAAGUCCCUUUAAAAUUAGGACUGUAUCGCAGGUUGCUAGACAAACUUUUGUAAACUAGGAAAACCAAAGUCUAAUUCUUUGGACCAGACUGAAUUCUAAAACAGACAUGUUUGCUUGAAUCUCCACCAAAUACUUUUCUUUCACAGACACGGGAUAAGCAAGGAAGGGGCAGGCCCUGAAUAUAUUUUGGUCUGGACAGCUGCCUUUUAACCUACAAGAAAAUAUGGUCCUUGCUAUUAAAAUAUAGGUUUCUGCUAAAUAAAUCUAAUAUUUAUCUUAUUAGCAAUAGUCAUCAUGGUUAUGGCAAUGAAUAAAACAAAUCAAUGAAUAAAAACGCAACAAUAACAAUUCAGAUAUUAAAAUAUCUAAAAUAUUCUGUCCUGUUUGAAAUAGCUUAUCCUGUUUUAUAUCUACCAAUAGAGUAAUCAGGAGAUACACAAUAUAAUUAUGGCAUAAUUCACUCGCUGGCUAUAUUCUUUGAUAAUAUUAUAAUAAAUAAACACCAAUUAAAAAUCAAUGCAAUAAUUAAGGGUUUAGAAAAGGCAGGUGUUGUCAAAAUCACUGUAACAUUUAAUCAUCAGUUUGAUGUAUAAAGUAUAACUUGUUGCAGACAUCAUGACAAUCACAGUGACAAUCACAAACAUGGUCUGCCACACGAUUCUCCCUAGCAUAACACGCACCUUCCACUCAACUUUAGAUGUUUCUUUUAGGAAUUACUUUAAAAGCAGAUAAACAGAGCAAGGUUGCUGAAUUUAUAUAAUCAUAGAGUCACUAAACAAAGCAAAAAAUGACCCUUAAUAUGAUAAGUGUGGUUCAGAAAUUAGCACAUGCUGUAGGUAAUAGGGUGUAAUAUGAGCUAAAGGGUAGAUUUUUGGAAUAAGGCAAUAUUUAAAGGGACACUCCAGGCACCAAGACCACUUCUGCCCAUUAGAGUGGUCUGGGUGCCAACUCCCACUACCCUUAACCCUGUUUUCAUAAACUGCAAUAUUUACCUUGCAGGGUUAACUCCUCCUCUAGUGGCUGUCUAGUAGACAGCCACUAGAGGGCACUUCCUGGUUCACAGCACAGAUUUUCUAUAGCGGCGCUGGACGUCCUCACGCUAUGUGAGGACCUCCAGCGUCGCUAAAAUCCCCAUAGGGAAGUAUUGAAAGCAUGCGCAUUAUGUCUCACCACGCCGGCGGCCGCGCAUGCACAAUCGGUCUCCCCCGCCGGAUGACGGCGGGGGAGGAGCGUGGGCUGACCCUGGACCAGCGCUGAGGGACAUUGGCGCUGGACUCCGGUAAGUCACUGAAGGGGGUCAUGAUUCCCUUUUAUUCCAGAAGUUUGGUCCUUAGGGGGUUAAACCCCUUCAGCAACCUGGGAUGGGGGGUGGGAGGGAGAGGGGACCUGCAGUGCCAGGAAAACAUUUUGUUUUCCUGGCACUGGAGUGUCCCUUUGAGGUUAUGGAGGACUUGGAUAUAGUGGCAGGGGAUGUUAGGGUUAAAAACUAAACUUAACCAAAACUGAAUUCUGGUCUUUCAUCCCUCAAGUGUUGUUACUCCUGUGACUGUCUCCCUCCAAGUCAACGGUGCUACCAUCAACUCCACCACGUAGGCUUGCUCCCUAGGUGUUCUCUUUGACUCCGACCUCUCCUUCAAGCAUCAUUUCAAUCUAUCGCCAAAUCCUGUCAUUUCCAUCUCAAAAACAUUGCGCGCAUCCGCCCCUACUUAACGCCAGAUGCGACUAAGGUGUUGGUCCAUUCCACUAUCCUUUCUCGCCUUGACUACUGUAAUCCGCUUCUCAGUGGUCUUACGUGCUCCCAACUUGCGCCGUUACAGUCCAUAAUGAAUGCGGCGGUGAGGCUCAUCUUCCUGUCCGCCUGCACCUCCCAUGCCUCACCCUUCUGUCAGUCCCUACAUUGGCUUCCUAUAAAAUAUAGAGCUCAAUUUAAAAUUCUGGUUCUUGCUUUCAAAUCUCUACAUAAUGCUGCUCCCACCUAUCUAUCCUUCCUUAUACACAAAUAUGUCCUGUCUAGGCCCUUACAAUCUGCUGAAGACUUACGUCUAUCUUCUGUCCGUACUCCCACCUCUGAUGCUCACCUUCAAGAUUUCUCGAGGGCUGCACCGUUCCUGUGGAACUCGCUUCACUCCUCCGUUAGAUGCUCACUCAGUCUCCACUCCUUCAAAAAAUCGUUAAAAACCCACUUCUUCAUAAAAGCGUGUCAAUUAAACUAAUACUAUCCUUACCUUUUUGUGUCAUUUUACCCCACUCCCUCUAGCAUGUAACCUCGGCCUCAAUCCCUCUGUUCCUGUGUGUCCAACUUGUCUGGUUACAAAUACAUGUCUGUUCGUCCACCCAUUGUAAAGCGCUGCGGAAUUUGAUGGCGCUAUAUAAAUACCAUAAUAAUAAUAAUAACAUUAACUUAAAGGACACUCCAGACCCUUAAGGCAGUGUAGCUUGCUGAAGAGCUUUACACAUGAACAGUGUGUCUCUUUUAAAAAAAAAUCUGUACAAAAAUUUAAAUAAUAAUAAAAUAAAAAUAAAAUAUUAAUAAUAUAAAAAAAAAUUAUAUUAAAAUAAUAAUAAUAAUUUUUAAAAAAUUAUAAAAAUGCCCACCCCCCACCAAGGCUCUGCAUCACACACACAAACACACUCGGCAUCACACACUCUGCACUCAUACACACACACACUGCACUCAUACACACACACUCCGCAUUCAUACAAACACUGCAUUAUAUACACACACACACUGCAUUCAUACACAAACACUGCAUUAAUACACACACACACUGCACUCAUAAUCACACACACUGCAUUCUUACACACACACACACACACUGCACUCAAACACACACACACACCCCAUUCAUACAAACACACUGCAUUAUAUACACACACACACACUGCAUUCAUUAUAUACACACACUGUAAAUAAAUAUUCAAUUAAUAUAAUUUUUUGGGGAUAUAAUUUUAUUUAGAAAUUUACCAGUAGCUGCUGCAUUUCCCACCCUAGUCUUAUACUCGAAUCAAUACGUUUUCCCAGUUUUUUGGGGUAAAAUUAGGUUUCUCGACUUAUACUCGAGUAUAUACGGUAGCCUUGAAACAACCCCUUGGCUGCAGAUAAGAGAUCUACAAUGUUUGCAAACUGUUAUUAGAUAUAAUCCCAAAUAAAAAAGACAUAAUUAAAUUUAUGCAUGUUUUCAUUGGGAGCAUAUAUACUAAAUGGUGAUACUUGCACUGACAGUGAUGAGCACUGUAAUUAUUAUUCUCAGUCAGUUUUGCUCUGACAUAUGACUGAAGUACCAUUAUAGCAUUACCAUAUUUACUGGGAACAUUUAAAAAAUGACGUUUUAACUGUGAAACUAAUGUGUUAUAUUAAACAAAUAGUUUGUUUCCGGAAAUAAAUUAUUGGUAAGGAUAUUAAAAACACGGUGGCAGAAUGUACACGGCACAGCAAUCUAGAAAUGUUACAAAAAGUACAAAACAAGCACGCACAAAAAAAGCAGAUAAAAAAAUGUAGAACACAGCCUGUUUAAUUCCAUUUUUUUAAAUAGUUUGAGUUCCCCUGUUGAAAGCUCCACACAUGCCAAAGCGUUCUUUUCAUUCUGCUGUUGGCUUUCGUUCUGGGGUGAUUUCUUUCCCAAACUAAGUUGAUAUAUUUGAGAGCAGACUCGAGUUGAAAGUAAUAUCAGUUUGUGUGCUGCAAUACUCUAAACUUGGACUCUGCAUUCCAUACAUUCCAAAGUGUCCACGCUAUAUUUUGUAACACACACUGGUAGAAAACCAUGCAUACUCCCCAAGUGUCCCACUUUAAUUGUGUCAGUCUCUCUGCAAUACCAAAAUCCUGUAUUCUUUAUUUCCUGUUCUGGUGUCCUCGUUUUAAAGAGCCUAAAAUAUUUGUCAUCCCUUAGUAUAUACAAGAGAAUCCCAUUAAUAGAUUCAGUUAUGUGUAUUUAUUUAAACAUUUUAUUUGUUCUUAUAAAUGGCUUAUCCAUUUAUCCAUAAUCCUCUCAGCGUCCGAGCCAUUCCUUGCUAUAUUACAACAUAAAAACACACACUUCCUAACAAAAAGCCUCCACACAUUUUGGGCAAUUAAUUGCCUGACGCCUCAUGUCCUGGGCACCUGAUCUGAGAAAGGAGGGGGAAGCCCAGAUGGAGUUCCGUUGGAGAGGAGUAAACGGAGACAGUUGUGAAGACAGUUUGUUUUUGUUUAGAUAUGAAUGACAAAUUCGGUAGUAAAAUAAGUAUCGCUUGCAAUAAGAGUGCUGUCUCUAUGAUGGGGUGAUUUAUAGACGAGAAGUGUGGCGGGCACUCACAUGAGUUGCCCCAGCUUAGAGCCGGAAUUUUCGGUAAAGCCAAGUGAGAAACUGUUUUAGUUUUACUGCAUAUCAGGGAAAUCUGAAAUUCUCCCUCUUUCCUUGAUUUCAAUGUAUCCUUCUUGGUAUAAUAUUUUAUAAAUAAAUAAAAUAAAUAAACAAAUUUAAUAUCGGAGUUGGGAUGUGAAUCCAACCUUAUUCUGGACAGACAGAAUAAAUAAUUAUGGCAUUCACCAUACAAACAAUGUAAACACAAUAUUUAUAACAUCUUAAUUUCAAGCGUCAUUCAGGUAGAGAUAGCUAAUCUACAUUUCUCUAGAUUUAACUCUAUACUAAUCAUUACAGGAAGGCCAUAAUAAACUACCUUAAUCCAGGAGAGAAUUAACCCAUUAAUUAGUGUAAUGUAAUCAAGGGUCGCUGUAUGUUUCCCUGUACAGCUAGAAGGCUGCUACUUUGUAACCUAAUGCUAUAAUGCAAGCCAGGUGUUUAAGAUGAUACCUGGAACUCACUAGACCUUUCACAGAAAUUGAUCUCACCACCUGCUCUCUCAUUAUUCCACAAACACAUUCCCAGCUAACAUGGACAGUAGCUAAGACAUUACACCUACAAAUUACUAAUGCAUUAUAUCAAAUCACAUGACUUGCUGGCUAGAGAAUUUUGCACCAAUCACUGCUUGAAAUCUGAAUUUGAGCAAAUCUUGUGUUUUUAAUAUAGUCAGAUACUGUGCCAUUAUGUGUCGAGACAAAGCAACGCAAAACAAAAUUUAAUCCACUAGGCUCCAUGGUCAGUCUUCACCUGGCGAAACAAAAUGAAAAGCUUCUCCAAUUAUUCUCAUGCAUGGCUAAAACAUCAUAAUCAUAAAUAUCAUAAUCUCUAAAAUAUAUUAUACCCCCUCUAUUCCUUUACGUAAUUCAACCAAGAUAAAUUGAUAUCAUUUUAUUUUUUUGGAAUCCCUAUACAGCUAUCCAGGCAUACAAUCUCUGAUUUGCCGUUAAGUCGGUGAUUGCGUCCUCUAGCUACCCAGAUGUUUUCUGAACUACAAUUCUAAACAUGCACAGUCAGCCUGCAGGAAUCAUAAAUAUCUGGAGUGCUAUGGGUAGCAGUAACGAUUUAUAUUUACAAAAUGUAUAACACAGGGGCCGGGCUUGAUCUCCAAGCAGUGAGGAAGCCCUGUGCUGCAACUCUCCUGAACUGAUACGGUUUUUCGACAAAUGCAGCACCUCUAUUUGCUACAUCCACCUUUAAAGGGACACUAUAGUCACCUGAACAACUUUAGCUUAAUGAAGCAGUUUUGGUGUAUAGAACAUGCCCCUGCAGCCUCACUGCUCAAUCCUCUGCCAUUUAGGAGUUAAAUCCCUUUGUUUAUGAACCCUAGUCACACCUCCCUGCAUGUGACUUGCACAGCCUUCCAUAAACACUUCCUGUAAAGAGAGCCCUAUUUAGGCUUUCUUUAUUGCAAGUUCUGUUUAAUUAAGAUUUUCUUAUCCCCUGCUAUGUUAAUAGCUUGCUAGACCCUGCAAGAGCCUCCUGUAUGUGAUUAAAGUUCAAUUUAGAGAUUGAGAUACAAUUAUUUAAGGUAAAUUACAUCUGUUUGAAAGUGAAACCAGUUUUUUUUUCAUGCAGGCUCUGUCAAUCAUAGCCAGGGGAGGUGUGGCUAGGGCUGCAUAAACAGAAACAAAGUGAUUUAACUCCUAAAUGACAGUGAUUUGAGCUGUGAAAUUGCAGGGGAAUGAUCUAUACACUAAAACUGCUUUAUUUAGCUAAAGUAAUUUAGGUGACUAUAGUGUUCCUUUAAUAUGUUCCUGAUGUGACAACACACUCAUCUGUUUUUUAUCUUGUCUUAUUGUACUGAUGCAAACUUAAUUUUAUUGUUUGUAUUAAUCUAUACAUGUCUCAAUAAAAAACAGAUUGACAAAAAAAGAAAAAAAUGUAUAAUGCAAUUGUGAAAAAAGAGAAACUAACAAAACUUAGUAGUGAAAGGGUUUUAUUCCACUACAAUAAAUUAUUCAAGGGGUGACCAAGCACAAUGAGAAAAUGGCGAUUUCUUUAUAAACCUCUGCUCAUAACGUAAAAAUGACUAAAAACAUCAUAAAGAAAAAAAGCUACAUGUCAAACUACGUUGAUAAAACAACCUUGGACUUGCGAACCCAACGAUGUCUGAAGCAGAAUGUCUGACGUAGAUAUUCUAAGAUCAGGAACUAUGUAUAUAAAACAUUGUGAAAUGAAAGAUUAUUCCCUCAAUAAAGACCCCAACUAAUAGCAAUUCCUAAUCCAGACUUCACAAGGGUUGUUUUUAUAUCUCAUGAAUUCAAACAUAAAGUGAUACCUGUGAAUGAAAAGUAAUGAAUAUAAUGCACUUCGAUAGCAAACAGUAUAAACAUCUCAUUAUUAAUGAACAGGUCAAAGGUUACUCUUCCCAGGAUUUCUAAUACUGUCCUCAAUUACAUUCUCUCAGCAAAACCCAACAAAAAAUAAGUGGUUGCGCCCAAUCUAUUUAUCGAAUAUUGACGGAAUUCAAUACCAGUCGGAAUUCUAGUAGCUGAAACAAAUUAGUAGGUCCGCUGCUCAACAAAUGAACUAAGCAAUAAAUGACAAAUGCCAGUGUGCAAAUAGUUAGAAAAAACAAAUUGGGGGUCAAUAAUCUUUAUAAGGGUUCUCCACAGGGCAAGCUCAAUUUAUGCAUGGAUCUAUUUUUUGACGUCACAUAUUUUUUGCAAUCCUUUUUUUUUUUUUAAGAGUUCCGUCAGGACAUUAUGGAUUUUGGGGGGAGAGAGGGCAUUUUUAGGAAUGAAGAGGAGAUCUAAUGGUACUAAUGUAACGUAUUUUUUCAGGAUUAUAUUAUUUUACCAACCCCUCAGCCCCUUGUGGGAAUGGACAUAACCACCAGGGGGUAUGGGGGGGCUAAACAUUUUUUUACCUUCUACAUUUAUUUGCUUAGUGCCCAGACUUCUAUUGGUUUUACCUGGAAAAUUCAGAAAAAACACAAAUGUUAUCAUUUAAAUCCAAAUACAUACAUUUUUAGCAACAAUUAUUCUAGGUUAAGUGUUUGCUAAAUGUCUAAAUUCUCAUACUUUGUAUAAAAAUGUUUCAUUAUUAGUGUUGUUUUUUUCAGCCACAAAAUUACCGUGAAGUGAAUUUUUGGGUCUAAUCUGUGAGUAUUACUCCAAAUCGUCUUCAGUAAGUACAAAAGUUACUUAUUCUGGUAAUUUUCUGGGAUUUUCCAAGAAUUUCACAAUUUGGAUGGCUAUUCUGAGUGUGUUAAAUCAGGUAAAGUGCAUUGUUAAAGUAGACAAUUUAUAGAUCAUAUCUUACUUUAAGUGACCUGAACCAGCUGUUAAAUCUCUCGGAGCCGACUGUAAAACCUCUUCUUAAAGCUUUGCCUAAACGACAGGCUCAGUGAUAAGAACGGGGAUGUAAAUAGUUGGAAAUGUUUCAAGUAGUCAAGUAGCAAUUGUUUUUGUCCUGAAAUUUAUAUAAAUAAAAAAAACGUAAAUACAAUUGCAGCGAUAUUGGUUAUCUAAUAUAGACAGUCUUUAGAUUGUGAGCUCAUUUGUUCAGAGUCCUCUUUGUCUACUGUUCCAAUAUGCCAUACAUGUUUUGUUAAAUGUUUGUCUUAUCCAUUGUACAGCGCUUCGGAAUAUAUUGCCACAAUAAAAAUAACUGUGAUUGCAUUGUAAUUUUUUCUUUUACCAAUUUCCAAAAAAUUCCAUUGCCGAUGUCUAAUCGAUGUCUAAAACAAUUUCUGUUUUCUUCUGUUUCAAUAAAGGUAAACAUUAUAAACAUGUAAAAAGGAUUUGGUAACCAGUCAUGUUCUCCAGAUAGUAAGUGAUUGCUACCCCAACCAGCUGUGGAUCUACAGACCUUGGACCUUGCUUCGUUACUCAGAGAAAGGAUGAUCAAUCAAUGGAAAUGUUUGGACCCCGAUCUACAAUACACCUCAUUGCUACUGAAGUAGCGGUGUCACAGUUAUGUAGUUUAUGAGUACUUCAUAAAUAUACAUUUUUAUGAAAUACUCUCUAGAUUGUAUGCUCAUUCGAAGAGGGUCCUUGUCAACCUAGCAUUCCUGUCAAAAUGUGUAAUAGCUUGUCUCAAUUGUUCUUAAUCCCCUCCCCUUCCGACACUGUACAGCACAACAAAAUAAGUUGGAACUAUAUAAUAAAUACAACUUGUGUGUAUACAAACUCCUACAUAUACCGAGUGCGGCAGACACCAGUGAAAUUAUCCUGAGGAAGUGCUGAUAGGAGUACGGCGAAACGCGAAGACCUUUUCUGAGGUUCCCCAUCAGCCAUCACAUUGCUGGAAGAUACAAUUUUCUGGCCACCGUAAUUUGCGAACCAUGAAUGUACAGCACUAUAGCAACUGUAUUGAGAGGUGGGGAUUUAAGCCUAUUUUGGAAAAGCCGUUUAUGCAUAUUUCUUUGUAUUUGUACAAAAAACCUUUUUGAGUGUCUCUUUUGCUAUUUAUAUGGAAUAUGGAA
Non-coding RNA from Pelobates cultripes (western spadefoot toad), 11432 nucleotides. The record is from the annotation of a GenBank genome assembly. Lineage: Eukaryota; Metazoa; Chordata; Amphibia; Anura; Pelobatidae.